Molecule: ribosomal RNA, 253 nt
Filed under: uncultured bacterium
Lineage: Bacteria
Description: partial 16S ribosomal RNA
Rfam family: Bacterial small subunit ribosomal RNA
Source: RNAcentral
UACGUAGGUGGCAAGCGUUAUCCGGAAUUACUGGGCGUAAAGCGUCCGCAGGCGGUGCGUUAAGUUUGACGUGAAAGCUCCCGGCUUAACUGGGAGAGGUCGUUGAAGACUGGCGAACUUGAGGCCAGGCGAGGGGUGUAGAAUUCCCGGUGUAGUGGUGGAAUGCGUAGAGAUCGGGAGGAAUACCAGUGGCGCAAGCGGCACCCUAGCCUGUGCCUGACGCUCAGGGGCGAAAGCGUGGGGAGCGAACGGG